Long non-coding RNA from Saccostrea cuccullata (small rock oyster), 2319 nucleotides. RefSeq lists it as uncharacterized. The record is from RefSeq and is a predicted model, not a curated record. The transcript has 3 exons. Lineage: Eukaryota; Metazoa; Mollusca; Bivalvia; Ostreida; Ostreidae.
UGUACUUGAAUUUUGUGGUUGUAAGCAACCUGAUUUUAUGACCUGUCAUACAAACUUUACAGUCAAAUGACAAUCAGACAUGUGGUUUAGUAUAUCCAGGCAUAUCAAACAUUCAUACUUGAUCUACUUUAGAUGCUACUUGCAUUGGAAAAUACAAGCAUACUUGAGAGCAGAGAGUGCAAGAAUGACAUGCACUGGAACAAUACUGGAAUGUCGCACCAAAUUCAUUGGAGAGGGCUGAUACUUUACCAGACAUUCAGACAGCCAACAAAUGAGCCAAUUAUAACCAAAACAGGCAAGCUAAAAAGUGAACAAUCGUGAAAGCGGAGAAAAUGACUUGGAUGACUUUUCAUUCGCAGCUUUUUUACAUCCUGUGAAAAUAUGCAGAUAAUCUUUCAUUUCAAUCAAUCUUGUUAUUUCUUCAUCAGUCAAAAGAAAGAAAAGAGCAAAGCAUAGAAAACACAUAAAUCAGAUAACCAAGUAUUUGGAGAGAAAUGAAAUAUGAAUUUUUAUUCCACACUGAUUACUUUCAUAUUACAGGAGUUAAAGGAAUUUAAGAUUAAUGAAAUGCAGCGAAUUGAAACACUAGAAGCUAGAUAAGAACAAUUUUUUAAAAGAAAAAAAAAAGAAUUUCCUAACUGUCUCGGAUUUUCCCUAGCCGCUGACACUAAGAUGCAACUAAUCCUUCAGCGUGGCUCCUUAUCAAAAUAUGAAGUGUACGAUGAUGAUAGAUCAAACGGUCUCCAUUGAGAAGAAUACCACUAAGUUCAUAGAGGGAUACCCACGGCCGCUGUCUGCCAGACUGGCCUUUGUCCCAGGUCAGGCGACUUUAAAGGCACACAUGACUUCAGAGUUACAUAUUAAAGAUUUUAUAUUCAUUAGAAUUAUCAAGGUUCAAGUUUCAAGACUAUUUUGUCAUUUUCCAGACUCUUGGGUCCAACAAAUUCUUUUUUGUAUGCAUUUUCACAGAGAGAGGUGAAGGGUUUAUCAGAAAUGACAUAUGUUUUGUAGAAGGAUGCAUUGUACAUCGAAAUAUACAUAUCUGAUGAGGAAACAGAAAUUGAUAGUGUUGAUAUUAUAUCAACUGCCUUUUAUUUAAAAAAAAAUCAAAUACAAAGCAAAGAAUAAGCACAGCCUGUGUGCUAGAUAAAACUUGUGAUUUGUGUAACAAAGUUUAAGGUGUUGACGGAAAUGAAUAUGAAAUUCUAUAGGAAAAUAGAUUUCAUCUCUGAUAUUUAACUCAGCCACACAUAAAGAAGAAUAACUGAAGUCCUUGUGAAACCUGCAAAGUCUUUGCUCUGCAAGUCUGGGCUAAAAAAUAAACAUGUUCAUGUGAAAAUUUUUUGAAAUUUCUCUAUCUUAUGCAAAAUUGAACCUUAGUUUAUAUACAGUCUCAUCCAAAAGAAUGGAACUGUAGCAUGAUUAAGAUAAAAUUAUUUGACAGAAUAACCUAUUUUUAGUAUCAACAAGACCACCUUUCAUUGAUAUGGAGAAUCUUUUUCGUGUUUAGGAAAAUCAUUUUAAAAAUUUGUUUCCAGGCUGAUUAUAUGUUAUGAAACCUUGUUAAUUGAUAAACUCCUUUAGUCUUCUUUCUUCAACAAAAUCAAUAUUAAAGGUAUAAAAUACUUUACAACAUUUAAAGGAAAUGUCAUUAUGUGCUAUAUAAAGAAAUUCAAGAAUAUUUUAAUCCUCGCAAUUUUGAUUAUCACUGAUGGUAUAAAUAUUUUUUGUUCUUUUUUUAUAUUUAUUUUUUAAGAUUUUAAGUGAUUGCAUGCGGUACAAAUUCUUCUUGUCUAGUAGUUUUGUGUUGGAUUGUUAUAGUUAGUGCAUAAAGAAAAGAGGUUAUAUAUUUCUGUCUAUAAUUGCCUGUACCUCUUAAAUGAUUGUGCAUGUACCAAUGCAGAAAUAUUCACAGGAAGACAAAAAGAAAAAGAUUUUUUUUUGCUUCCCUCUGUAGUUUUCAAGCAGGUCAAUACUCUGUAAGCCAAGCUUUUGUUCUUAAAACUCCUUGGAUCUACAAUGAAUUAUUUUAAGUACUCAAAACACCAUCUGCCUCAAUUAUGUUAUGAUAUUUUAAAAAGCUUUUCUUGGAAUGCACGCUUGUCAGUAUUGAUCGUAAGCAUCAAGUGCAUCAACACAGACAUGUAGAAUCAGCCUCAUUAUAUCAUUGUUAAAUGAUGCUAUCUGACACUACAACAUUUAAUGCAGAUCCAGCCUUCAUCAGCCUAAUGCACAGAACUGUGUGGCAGCCGAGUUCAGACUAAAAUUUACAUGCCUCUAAAUGCUUUGUGCAGGAAAUAUAUCAUUAUAUGACUGGUA